Molecule: long non-coding RNA, 415 nt
Filed under: Homo sapiens (human)
Lineage: Eukaryota; Metazoa; Chordata; Mammalia; Primates; Hominidae
Description: LNC_000603
Source: RNAcentral
CAACCCCCAAACCUCAGGCACUGAAUACAAGGAAAGUCUUUCUUGUUCAUAUCAUAAGUCCAAGGCAGGUCAGUGGGAGAGGGCAGUGCUGCUCCACGCAGUCACUCAGGGGACCCAGGCUCCUUCCAUCUCAUGGUUCUGCUCCCCUCUGGGUCCCUUUAGGCCUGCUUCAUCCAGAGAAAAUGUGGGGCAAGAGAGAACACUGAUGUUCCAGCAGGCCAACCCAGGGAGCACCUCUGUUAUGAACACCCUUGGUCUACAUGAGCUCUUCAGACAUCUUGACUCCAGCACAUAAGCUUUGACAUGAGCUGUCUCAAAUCCCAAACAUGCAUUCAACCCAGGGUGUCCAGGCCCCUCUGGGCUCCUCCAGUGUCUGAACCCCACAUCCCAAGCUCAUCUAAUUAUACCCUUGGAG